UAUGUAACAAGGAUUUUAUAUACGGAUUUUAUAUACGGAUCUGGGAAAUGGAAUUACAUACGGAUAAUCCGUAUGUAAAUAAAACAAAUUUUACAUAGGGAUAAUCCGUAUAUAAGGUCGUAUGUAACGAUUAAAAAUAUUUAGGCAGUAAUGUUUUAUACUAAUGUAAUUAAUAAUUAAAUAAUAAAACUGAAUGAUAUAGAAUAUUUGAUGAAGACACUGCUGUCAUUUUUCUCCCUCCCUUCCUCGAGCAAAGUUUCUCCUGAGCCCUAGGUUUUCCUCAUUGUCGAGCCCUAGCUUUCCCAAUCCAUGAUUCUCCCUCAGUCAAACCCGUAGUGUCGCAUUCAAGCUUUUGUUUUCCCUCAAUCCAACUGGAGUUCUGCUCGUACUCGAACCUCUCUCGAACCCUAACUUGAAGUCUCCUUUGUGGACCGUAGUGAAAGCUUCCUCUAUCGAACACAGUGAAGGUGUUGGAAGCGUUUUCAAUAAUUGUGUUGGAAGCCCGAACAAUUUGGUUCAGCAAAGACUGUCGUUCAACCUCCGUGGUUCGCUGAGACCUUCAUCUGGUAAGUAUUACAAACUUCCUUCAUUUUCUUGCAUUUUAUAAUGUUACAUUGACCAAUUAUUGUUCUUUAUUCUUUGGAGGUUGAAAAUCCCAACUUUUGAAACCCUAGGUU
This 677-nucleotide long non-coding RNA is filed under the name Vigna radiata. RNAcentral's name for it is "long non-coding RNA (VRAD_LNC004052)". Lineage: Eukaryota; Viridiplantae; Streptophyta; Magnoliopsida; Fabales; Fabaceae. The record is from RNAcentral.